UCGUAUAGUAGGUGUUUUGUGCAACACCAGCCCCAAUAAGCGGUGGUUUGUGCAGUUCCCUCCCCACGUCAAAACCACCUCCUAGCGAUUCUAUAGGCUGCAAAAGGAAAAACCUACCAUACUCCUACCAGGGCGCACAACUCUCCUAGGUCAAACACGUCGGCGGAGAUGAUGGAGACAUAUGGCAGGCGCACCCGUGGAUUUCGAGGAUCCUGACUGGCCGGCCAUUGGGAAGGAACGAAGCGCACAAGAUCGAGCACCGAGCAAGGCGCUGCUGCUGCCCCUGCCGCCAUCCAUCAUCUGCCGCAGUGGGUCAUCGUUAGAAGGCUAGGGCAAAUCUCCCGCAUAUUCCUCUUUGCAAGAUACAAAAGUAAGAACGUUUUGCCAGCAACAAAAUUAUUUCCUGAUUGUUAAUCUGUUCUGGUGCCUCAUAUGUGUAUUUGUUCCCUUCAACCGUACAUCAGCUCUCCUCUCCCGUGAUUUUGUUGAUGAAUCCUAAAGCUUCUGCGAAAAUAUCAUCCUUAGCCUACCUAUCCAAUUUGCCAGGUAAAAAAUAGAACACCAUCUGUUUGGCGUGAUUCCCUCAAACAGGAAAGGAAAAAGAAAUAGAUCUAAACAGCGUCGAGUUACAAUGCUGCCGCUAGCAGCCGUACAUACCUAGAAUCGUAAGGAAGAGGAGCCACGUAUUCCUCUCCGUAAUCUGUCAGACUAUAUGGGGAUUGUGCAUCUCACCGACGGCAGCGACCUAAGUUUGCUUCUCCAGUUCCAAGAUCACAUCCGUCCAGGGCGGCAUUACGGAGGGUCCCUUUACUCGGUUCUGAUGAUAGACAGGCCAUAUACGUAAGCAAUUAGAUUCCCAAUCAGAUGUAUAAUGUUUUGCGCUCUUUAGUGUACAAGAGCAAUUAUUUCGUUUCAACCGAUGUACUUUGACCAUGGUUGGUCAUGGUGACCACUGGCUGCCUCCAUCUCUAUGGGAAAAAAGCUUUACAAAUUGGGAGGAGUUCACGCCAUGAAAAAGAAUACAUCAGAUGAAAAUAUAUAGGAGGAAUUUGUGGGAAAAUAAGAUGUAAGUUAUUCCCCAGAUAUAUGCUAGGUCUUCUUCCUUAUAAUUUGCUACUUCGCUACGUCCGGAAAAUUUGUAUGGGCUCUAUGUGAUGGAUGAUGCUUUGUAUAACAAUAACAUGCCUUUUAUAAUUUGACUUUGCUGCAUGUCUCCAUUAGAUUUAGUCUUUGUGUAUUGACCAUUGUCUAUUGAAAUAACAGUCAUUUUCAAUUAAUAGUGUUUUAGAUCUCCCAACAAAAUGUACAAUAUUUUAGAUAAUAAUUCUCAACAUUGUAGGCAUAAGAGUUUGAAUCAUUGCAGGGGCUCUAAAUCUUGAAGGAUCUAUUAUCUAUCUAUACCUCUACUAAUUAGACACUUCCUACAAAUUCCUAUGUUAAUUAGAAAAUAUUAACCGUUGAUUUUGUGGGACCGAAUUAUUGCGGUGUAGAUUAGCCCACAUAAUCAUGAAGAAAAAGAUUAAUCAUAGGGUCCACAAUCUUUUUAUGGUUGUAGAAAUAUAAACAAGUCUCGAUUCAGCCUUUCACGGGGCCCUCCCAUAUGGGAGCCCAAUAACAGACGUGGAGAAUCAAAACGGUUCGGUUCACUAGCAAUUUACCUACGUACGUUCCAAAAAACAAAAUACUAGCUGGUUAUGCAUUUUUUUCGAGAGUAUACAUAUUUUUCUAGAAAAAAGUUCUAUUUACACGUAGCAGUUGAUUUUGUGUCUCUGAAUUAUAAAUGUUCAGAUCUAAUCUAAAAUCAUUGUGGGUGCUCCACCUAAUUAAUUCCACGUUAUUACAUAAAGAGAGGAAAAAAUGUUUGCUUAGAGUCAUACAUAACCAAGACUCAAAAGUCUUGCAUCUCACGUAAAAAAAAGACAUGAGUCUUUCUUAAGUCGUAUUUGUCUAGGAGUCGUACAAGCAUAUUCUCCUUUGGAGACUCGUGGUGUUAAUUCUCUGUCAACGAUCCUCUCCACUCCUUACGCAGGCCAACCUACAAAAUCUACCCAGUAACCCACUCAAUACAUGAGGAUUCCGGCAAAGAGCAGAGGGUUCGACCAUGGCGGCCGCAACUCCAGAAAGUAGUUCAAUCUAAAUAAAGUCCAACAAGUAGUACAACCGUCAAUGGUGCUAUGUUUACACAUCAAUCCGGUGGCCUAGGUUAUUAUCUUUGUUUCUCAAUUAAAAUCUCUAUUGUUCUGGCAAGAAAAUCUCACAUGUUUUUCUGAUAUUAUUUUCUCUAUAUUCUCCUUUCCGUAUACACAGUAUUACAUGACAAGACAAUCAGUUAUCUACUUAAGUAAUUUGAUUGAUGGAGUCACGCAACGAUGUCGCGUAUAGACGGGAAGACUUAAUAAGUGACCCAUGCAUCCGACAGUAGAUACGUUCUGACACAUAAUUGGUCGUUUGUGACGGACGCAUGCAUGAGCAUUAUAUAGAUGGCGAUGAGCUAGGAAUCUAGGAUUUACUGCUGAGGGGUCUGCUGGGAUGAGGAUGUUUAAGCGGUACACAUAUUGUGUCUAAUUUGGUUAAACUGUAAUACACAUACAUACAGACUACUAAUCAAUGUCUUCUUAAUAUUUUUUCAGAUUGUUACUUACAUUGUGCGGUGACCAAGGACGAAUGCAUAGCAUAGUGAUGAUUGAUGCUUGAUAUGGUACCAAGUUAUCUAGCACCUUACGGGCUGGUAUUUUCGUUUUCCAAUCUCUAUCUAUGUCUUUCCAAUAAGACAAUCUGAUGUGCUUUGAUAUUAUUUUCUCCUUUUCUCUUUCCAAUAUAAAUAGUAUUAUAGGGCAACAAAGACAAGCAGCAAUCCAACUUCUAAGUAAUUUGAUGGAGUCACCGCAGCAAUGUCGUACACACGGGAAGACUCAAGACGUGUCACAUGUAUCUGACAGUAGGUACGUUCAAAUAGAAAACUCAGAGUUUACAAUGGAAGCAUGUGAGGCAUUAUAUGGCGAUGAACUAGACAUCACCGGCCAGGGGCCUGCCGGGAUGAGGUUGUCUAAGUCAUAAAUAUGUUGUAUCUUAUUUGGCUAUUAAAUACCAUUGUAAGUCUCCCACAAAAAAAAUAUACCACUGUAAGUCACAAACAUACAGGCUACUAAUCCAGGUCCCCUCAAUUUCUUUCCAGAUUUGUUACUUACACUUUGUCGCAAGCAAGGAAGAAUACAUAAAAUCUGGAUGAUCGAUGCUUGAUGACGUUCUGUGUUUGUAAAUAAUGUUAGAUACAGAAGAUAUUAGAUACAGAUAAAAUCAAAAUUAAAAGUUGUAUAAAGCCAAUGGUCAACACUUAUUCAGGCUUUCGAUUUUCAUAUGUACUCUGAACAGCUGAAAACUUGGGAGGAUAUAAAUGUAUGUCCAAAGAACAAUUACUACAAAAUGUAAAAUAUGCAGCGC
RNAcentral lists this long non-coding RNA (3441 nucleotides) under Triticum aestivum (bread wheat). RNAcentral describes it as "long non-coding RNA (TAES_LNC025481)". Lineage: Eukaryota; Viridiplantae; Streptophyta; Magnoliopsida; Poales; Poaceae. The record is from RNAcentral.